RNAcentral lists this ribosomal RNA (508 nucleotides) under uncultured bacterium. RNAcentral describes it as "partial 16S ribosomal RNA". It matches the Rfam family "Bacterial small subunit ribosomal RNA", at positions 28 to 507 of the family's 1533-position model. The record is from RNAcentral.
GACGAACGCUGGCGGCGUGCCUAAUACAUGCAAGUCGAACGCUUCUUUCCUCCCGAGUGCUUGCACUCAAUUGGAAAGAGGAGUGGCGGACGGGUGAGUAACACGUGGGUAACCUACCCAUCAGAGGGGGAUAACACUUGGAAACAGGUGCUAAUACCGCAUAACAGUUUAUGCCGCAUGGCAUAAGAGUGAAAGGCGCUUUCGGGUGUCGCUGAUGGAUGGACCCGCGGUGCAUUAGCUAGUUGGUGAGGUAACGGCUCACCAAGGCCACGAUGCAUAGCCGACCUGAGAGGGUGAUCGGCCACACUGGGACUGAGACACGGCCCAGACUCCUACGGGAGGCAGCAGUAGGGAAUCUUCGGCAAAGGACGAAAGUCUGACCGAGCAACGCCGCGUGAGUGAAGAAGGUUUUCGGAUCGUAAAACUCUGUUGUUAGAGAAGAACAAGGACGUUAGUAACUGAACGUCCCCUGACGGUAUCUAACCAGAAAGACACGGCUAACUACGUG